Molecule: non-coding RNA, 4166 nt
Organism: Rattus norvegicus (Norway rat)
Lineage: Eukaryota; Metazoa; Chordata; Mammalia; Rodentia; Muridae
Source: RefSeq, a predicted model, not a curated record
CUCAUGUGUGCUAGUCAUGUUGAUAUCUCGGCAUCAAGACCAACGGUCUUCAUAAGUGUUUCUUUUUAUGAUACGAAGGAGACAGAACAAGAAGAGUUGAUGUGGUUGGAUGAUGAGCUCAGGACUUUGAUAAGAAAAGGUCAGGACUUCGUGGCUUAGGUAUGGGUUCAGGUGAAGAGUUUUAACCGCUGUAUUGAGGGCUCUGGAGCUGUAGAGGUGGUGGCCCUCAUGACCUUGUCUGAAUAUAGUAGCUUCCUAUCUUCUGAAGAGGCUGGAAUAAGACAGGACCUUACGGGGAAGUGUCUGUCCUUCCUGGGAUCUGCCAGCACGUCUAUCUGGCCCUUAAUUGGGGUCAAAGGUCAAUGCAACCCGACUACAGGAGGAAGGACUGGAAGCAAGCAGGUCAGGCUGUGGCUAACACACUCCGGCUGGAACUGAUCUUCACAGCAAACAUCUUUGGAUCCAGAUGGCUCACAAAGCAGCGUGUGAUUAAGUGAACUGAGGCAAGGGACCCAUCAGUAGCCUGGUGUUGUUAGUAUGGAUGUUAAUAUGGAUGGCUCCCGCGAUCGGGAUUCACCGGAUGGAAACAACUCGAGCCAACUCAAGUUCUUCUCUGGACUCCAAACGGCUGAGAAACACUCAAAGGUCUGAGUCCUGACUCCUUACUACUUUGAACUGUGUGAACCAUUUACAGUAGGAACAUGCGUACUUCAAUCUCGACAUGACAGCGGUCCAUACUUCAAUCUCACCGUGACAGCGGUCCUUCGUUCUCAAUCAGCAUCACUUGGCGGACCACAUUUCCUAACUAGUACUCACCACCUGGCUCCUCUGCCACUCGAAGGCGGUGUUCCCUUACCACACCGGGAGGCACCUGUGGCGCUGUGCCUGGGAAGGUCACGAGUUGGAUAACUGCAGAUAAAUCUCGGGAGCUGCGUGUUCUGGUUAGGCAGGAAGUUAGACGCAAAGGAACCAAGCGGACUGCAACCAUCUAUUGGUAGUGGUGUCUCCUGAUGUUCAGAAUACUCCUUUGUGGUAUAAAUUCUUCACGUGCACUUCGGUUCCUCCUACUACGUAAGGGUACCUUCCCAGCUGCAGGCAUGUGAACCAGUCAAAGGUCCUCACCUUCGAAAUGACCUAAGUAUGUUCUAAUACCAUUUGUACUAUGGUUUUGACCUUCCCUGCUCUUUACAGACUUUUCAAGAGGAUCAUGGGAAGACACACUUUAAAGGGGAGAGCCAGUUCAUUGAGAAAGGAAAAGGUUAAUUAUCUUACUACAUGAAUAUGCUACUCAUUCAUGAAUAUUCAUCAACACCUUAACAUCCACGUCACAGACCAGUUGUGUUACUCAUCGGGCUUCAGGAUAACCCACUCUAAUCUUUCUGGAGAAUAUGCUCCACUUUGCUUUUCUUUGCUACAUUAAAUUAACUUCUACUGCAACUCCCUUUAUCUCUCGACUGAAUUCUUUCCUCUGGGAAGAAGAGUCAAAGCAGAAACCUUGAGAGGUUAACAUGAACUUCAACCUUUCCUCACAGGUUUUGUGCUUUAUACAUGCUUGGCCCACCCUUGCUGUGGCACUAUUUGGAGGUGUGGCCUGGUUGGAGUAGGUGUGGCCUGGUUGGAGUAGGUGUGUCACUGUGGGCGAGGGCUUUAAGACCCUCAUCCUAGCUGCCUGGAAAACUCCCAGCUCCUUUUGCACCAUCCCUGCCUGGACGCUGCCAUGUUCCUGCCUUGAUGAUAAUGGACUGAACCUCUGAACCUGUAAGGCAGCCCCAAUUAAAUGUCGUCCUUAUAAUACCUGCCUUGGUCAUGGCAUCUGUUUACAGCAGUAAAACCCUAACUAAGACAGGGGUGGAGUGAGAAUUAAAUAAGCAUUAUAGGGGUUGGGAAUGGAGGACUGGGAAGAGAGAGGGGAACUGUGGUUGGGAUAUCACUCAGAUUUAAAAAAAAAAAAAUUUGCUGAGGCCCGUGAUUAUAUAAUUGACUAUCACUACCUGUUCUAAUCAAACUACCAAAGAGUCAGUCAGUCACUCUUGUGUGUUCAGUGUGGGGUUGCUACAGCUUCUGUUAUUUUGUUUUUGUUUUUGUUUUAAGACAGGGUCUGUCUAAGCGAAGCUCAUGCUGACCUCUAACCCAUGAUCUUCUUGCCUCGACUUCCCAAGUGCUGGGGUGUGUGCAGUGACUUUUUAAGUGAGAUGGAAAGCUAGAAUUUUUUAAAAAAAAUUCAAGGUCUUACAAUUUUUGAACAUCACAACCUAAUGGAAACUUUUGAAACUUCUGAGUAUGUGAGGUCUGAACUCAGCAUACCAUAGCCAGCUUUGUCCAAGGAACCGCAGAAAAAAAGAAGAGACCAGAGAAUGCAGCAGAGACACCAGCCAGCAGGGCUAAGCCACUCGGAGUAGCUCCCUGACCUCACAGCAGAAGCCAUUGAUGACAUCAUUUUAAGUUUAGCCUGAUCUGACUGGCUUGAGUCCGUUUGCUGUGUGGCUGGCUGGCUCUGUGUCUCUCACAACUUCUUGUGAACAGGAUUCAUUUGGGCUGACUACUUUAAACAAAACAGCAAAAAACAUUGACCAAUGAAAGCAAAUUAUAAGAUUUCCAUUUGCAGAAACCAAGGUCCUUAAAUUAUCCAACAGAGUUAUCACUCCGAAUUCUCUAAGUGCCCUGGCAAAUUUAAAUGAAUAUAUAUAUAUAUAUAUAUAUAUAUAUAUAUAUAUAUAUAUAUAUUUCUCUGAUAUAUAUAUUCCCAUAAAGAGUCUACCAGUGUCUGGGAGCUGUCAUAAUAUGCUGCAGUCUUGUAGACAAGGCUUGGUACUUAACAGACUUUAGCAGCUACUGAAGUUUGGAUGAGUUUGGGAGAUCAGCACUGAGUCCUUCCCAGCCCCACUGAUCUCAGGCUGGCCUGGGUCCCUGUCCUCUGAGUUGUCCUUAUGCUGGUCCCGCCACUGGGAAUGCAGUCCAGGCAAUGAAAAGAUGAUGAAAUAGAAGAAUCUGUUUUAAAGACUUAUUUAUUUUAUGUAUGUGAGUACACUGUAGCUGUCUUUAGACACACCAGAGGAGGGCAUCAGAUCCCAUUACAGAUGGUUGUGAGCCACCAUGUGGUUGCUGGGAUUUGAACUCAGGACCUCUGGAAGAGCAGUCAGUGCUCUUAACCGCUGAGCCAUCUCUCCAGCCCGUAGUAGAGUAAUCUGAACUGCCCCACAAUCUCAUGCUUUACAUGGCUUGUUCUCUGCAGUCGGUGCCGUGGGGAAGGCUGUGGAACUUCAGGAGGUUUGGUCCAGCUGAAAGAAGUAGGUCCUUGGGGGUGUGUUAUCUCUGCCCAGUUCCUGUCUCAGGUCUCUAGGGUGUUUUGUUUGCUUGUUCGUUUUGAGCUUUUUAUUGGUUCUUUGUGAAUUUUAUAUCAUGUACCCUAAUCUCACUUACCUCCCUCCCAUCGUACCCACCCCCCACACAUGCAACCUCCCUCACAACAGAGUGAAAAACCCUUUUUGUGGAAGCUGCUGUGUGUCACAGUGUGCCCCACACUAUGCCCUUUUGUCCACACUUCUUGGCUUGCACAUGUUCACUGCAACGAGUCGUUGAUCUGGUGACAGAGGCCUCUGGCUUCCGCUACUCUAUCAAUACUGGAACCUCACUGAAAUUAGUCUUUUGUCACACACACACACAUACACACACACACACACACACACACGCACGCACGCACGCACGCACGCACGCACGCACGCACGCACCAGGAACCUGAGAUGCUCUUGUCAGAAAGGAGGAGUCAAAGUCCAGAAGACAGAAAGCUUGAGAGGAAGUGGGAGGAGCUAAGCCUCCUUGCUCCUCACCAGCCCCCACUCCCAGUAGCUGUUCCUGACCUGCUUGGGAACAGGCUUUGCCCCAGCCACGUGGAUGCUAGGGUUACUCAUUCUGUGAACAACCAAGACAAGAGGGCCUUGCACUAGUCUUUCCCUCCAUCCUGCCCUGCUCUAGUCUACAUUUGUGUUCCUCCCUUGACCUCUUCCCCGCUAUCCCCGUGCACUGUCUUGCCCACCCUGAGGCUCACACUGCCACUUUUAGGAGAGAGAUGCCCCUGUAAGCAGGUUCCAUUUGCUGUCUGGCCUUCAGGGUGUGACUUAAUCAGGAACAGGUCAAGCCUGAGCUAAGCUGUCGAGGAGACGCCCACG